UACGAAGGGGGCUAGCGUUGUUCGGAAUCACUGGGCGUAAAGCGCACGUAGGCGGACUUUCAAGGCAGGGGUGAAAUCCCGGGGCUCAACCUCGGAACUGCCUUUGAUACUGUUGGUCUCGAAUCCGGUAGAGGUGGGUGGAAUUCCUAGUGUAGAGGUGAAAUUCGUAGAUAUUAGGAAGAACACCGGUGGCGAAGGCGGCCCACUGGACCGGUAUUGACGAUGAGGUGCGAAAGCGUGGGGAGCAAACAGG
This 253-nucleotide ribosomal RNA is filed under the name uncultured bacterium. Its description in RNAcentral is "partial 16S ribosomal RNA". It matches the Rfam family "Bacterial small subunit ribosomal RNA", at positions 524 to 776 of the family's 1533-position model. The record is from RNAcentral.